CGGACGGGUGAGUAAUGUAUGGGGAUCUGCCUGAUGGAGGGGGAUAACUACUGGAAACGGUAGCUAAUACCGCAUAAUGUCUACGGACCAAAGCGGGGGACCUCCGGGCCUCGCGCCAUCAGAUGAACCCAUAUGGGAUUAGCUAGUAGGUGGGGUAACGGCUCACCUAGGCGACGAUCCCUAGCUGGUCUGAGAGGAUGACCAGCCACACUGGAACUGAGACACGGUCCAG
This 232-nucleotide ribosomal RNA is filed under the name uncultured bacterium. RNAcentral's name for it is "partial 16S ribosomal RNA". It matches the Rfam family "Bacterial small subunit ribosomal RNA", at positions 99 to 334 of the family's 1533-position model. The record is from RNAcentral.